Molecule: ribosomal RNA, 310 nt
Filed under: uncultured bacterium
Lineage: Bacteria
Description: partial 16S ribosomal RNA
Rfam family: Bacterial small subunit ribosomal RNA
Source: RNAcentral
AAGAGACAGCAGUCGCCGCGGGAAUACAGAGGGUGCGAGCGUUAAUCGGAUUUACUGGGCGUAAAGCGUGCGUAGGCGGCUUUUUAAGUCGGAUGUGAAAUCCCUGAGCUUAACUUAGGAAUUGCAUUCGAUACUGGGAAGCUAGAGUAUGGGAGAGGAUGGUAGAAUUCCAGGUGUAGCGGUGAAAUGCGUAGAGAUCUGGAGGAAUACCGAUGGCGAAGGCAGCCAUCUGGCCUAAUACUGACGCUGAGGUACGAAAGCAUGGGGAGCAAACAGGAUUAGAUACCCCCGUAGUCCCUGUCUCUUAUAC